GAGUUUGAUCAUGGCUCAGAACGAACGCUGGCGGCAUGCCUAACACAUGCAAGUCGAACGGGAUCCAGGCUUCGGCCUGGUGAGAGUGGCGGACGGGUGAGUAACGCGUGGGAACCUGCCCAAUGGUCUGGGAUAACCGCGGGAAACUGCGGCUAAUACCGGAUAAGCCCGAGAGGGGAAAGAUUUAUCGCCGAUGGAGGGGCCCGCGUCCGAUUAGGUAGUUGGUGAGGUAACGGCUCACCAAGCCGACGAUCGGUAGCUGGUCUGAGAGGAUGAUCAGCCACACUGGGACUGAGAUACGGCCCAGACUCCUACGGGAGGCAGCAGUGGGGAAUAUUGGACAAUGGGGGCAACCCUGAUCCAGCAAUGCCGCGUGAGUGAUGAAGGCCUUAGGGUUGUAAAGCUCUUUUGGCGGGACGAUGAUGACGGUACCCGCAGAAUAAGCCCCGGCUAACUUCGUGCCAGCCGCCGCUGUAAU
Molecule: ribosomal RNA, 478 nt
Filed under: uncultured Alphaproteobacteria bacterium
Lineage: Bacteria; Pseudomonadati; Pseudomonadota; Alphaproteobacteria
Description: bacterial SSU rRNA
Rfam family: Bacterial small subunit ribosomal RNA
Source: RNAcentral